GACGAGGCACUACGGUGCUGAAGCAACAAAUGCCCUGCUUCCAGGAAAAGCCUCUAAGCAUCAGGUAACAUCAAAUCGUACCCCAAACCGACACAGGUGGUCAGGUAGAGAAUACCAAGGCGCUUGAGAGAACUCGGGUGAAGGAACUAGGCAAAAUGGUGCCGUAACUUCGGGAGAAGGCACGCUGACACGUAGGUGAAGUGAUUUACUCAUGGAGCUGAAGUCAGUCGAAGAUACCAGCUGGCUGCAACUGUUUAUUAAAAACACAGCACUGUGCAAACACGAAAGUGGACGUAUACGGUGUGACGCCUGCCCGGUGCCGGAAGGUUAAUUGAUGGGGUCAGCGCAAGCGAAGCUCCUGAUCGAAGCCCCGGUAAACGGCGGCCGUAACUAUAACGGUCCUAAGGUAGCGAAAUUCCUUGUCGGGUAAGUUCCGACCUGCACGAAUGGCGUAAUGAUGGCCAGGCUGUCUCCACCCGAGACUCAGUGAAAUUGAACUCGCUGUGAAGAUGCAGUGUACCCGCGGCAAGACGGAAAGACCCCGUGAACCUUUACUAUAGCUUGACACUGAACAUUGAGCCUUGAUGUGUAGGAUAGGUGGGAGGCUUUGAAGUGUGGACGCCAGUCUGCAUGGAGCCGACCUUGAAAUACCACCCUUUAAUGUUUGAUGUUCUAACGUGGACCCGUUACCCGGGUUGCGGACAGUGUCUGGUGGGUAGUUUGACUGGGGCGGUCUCCUCCUAAAGAGUAACGGAGGAGCACGAAGGUUGGCUAAUCCUGGUCGGACAUCAGGAGGUUAGUGCAAUGGCAUAAGCCAGCUUGACUGCGAGCGUGACGGCGCGAGCAGGUGCGAAAGCAGGUCAUAGUGAUCCGGUGGUUCUGAAUGGAAGGGCCAUCGCUCAACGGAUAAAAGGUACUCCGGGGAUAACAGGCUGAUACCGCCCAAGAGUUCAUAUCGACGGCGGUGUUUGGCACCUCGAUGUCGGCUCAUCACAUCCUGGGGCUGAAGUAGGUCCCAAGGGUAUGGCUGUUCGCCAUUUAAAGUGGUACGCGAGCUGGGUUUAGAACGUCGUGAGACAGUUCGGUCCCUAUCUGCCGUGGGCGCUGGAGAACUGAGGGGGGCUGCUCCUAGUACGAGAGGACCGGAGUGGACGCAUCACUGGUGUUCGGGUUGUCAUGCCAAUGGCACUGCCCGGUAGCUAAAUGCGGAAGAGAUAAGUGCUGAAAGCAUCUAAGCACGAAACUUGCCCCGAGAUGAGUUCUCCCUGAGACUUUAGGUCUCCUGAAGGAACGUUGAAGACGACGACGUUGAUAGGCCGGGUGUGUAAGCGCAGCGAUGCGUUGAGCUAACCGGUACUAAUGAACCGUGAGGCUUAACCUUACAACGCCGAAGCUGUU
Molecule: ribosomal RNA, 1398 nt
Filed under: Salmonella enterica subsp. enterica serovar Hadar
Lineage: Bacteria; Pseudomonadati; Pseudomonadota; Gammaproteobacteria; Enterobacterales; Enterobacteriaceae
Description: partial 23S ribosomal RNA
Rfam family: Bacterial large subunit ribosomal RNA
Source: RNAcentral